GACGAACGCUGGCGGCGUGCCUAAUACAUGCAAGUUGAGCGAUGAAGAUUGGUGCUUGCACCAAUUUGAAGAGCAGCGAACGGGUGAGUAACGCGUGGGGAAUCUGCCUUUGAGCGGGGGACAACAUUUGGAAACGAAUGCUAAUACCGCAUAACAACUUUAAACAUAAGUUUCAAGUUUGAAAGAUGCAAUUGCAUCACUCAAAGAUGAUCCCGCGUUGUAUUAGCUAGUUGGUGAGGUAAAGGCUCACCAAGGCGAUGAUACAUAGCCGACCUGAGAGGGUGAUCGGCCACAUUGGGACUGAGACACGGCCCAAACUCCUACGGGAGGCAGCAGUAGGGAAUCUUCGGCAAUGGACGAAAGUCUGACCGAGCAACGCCGCGUGAGUGAAGAAGGUUUUCGGAUCGUAAAACUCUGUUGGUAGAGAAGAACGUUGGUGAGAGUGGAAAGCUCAUCAAGUGACGGUAACUACCCAGAAAGGGACGGCUAACUACGUG
Molecule: ribosomal RNA, 497 nt
Filed under: uncultured bacterium
Lineage: Bacteria
Description: partial 16S ribosomal RNA
Rfam family: Bacterial small subunit ribosomal RNA
Source: RNAcentral